AGAGGGGGAGAGAGAGAGAGAGAGAGAGAGAGAGAGAGAGAGAGAGAGAGAGAAAAUAAAAAUAAAAACAAAGUCAGAAAGGAGAAAAGUACCGAGCACAAGUUGAGCACACAGAAACCAAACCAGCCAAAACAACGGAGUUAAAAGUUGUGAGGAAAAAAUGUUAUUAAAUUUAAAAAUGAAAAAGCAUGAACCAAGAGCAACGUUUAGAGAAGGAAGAGGAGGCGGCGAGGCCGGGGAUUUGAGGGGGCGCCGGGAGGCCCCGCUCCCGCCGGAGGCAACAGAACCGUAGCGAGCCAACGGAGGGAGAAGUGGAGUUAGUGUGAGGAGGAAGCCCCGGAUCCCACCCCUAACCCCCCUUCGCCUCCUCUGAGGAUCCAAUAAAUCAAAAGGCGAAAUGAAACAAAAUAAAGAGAAGAAAAACGCUAAUAAUCAGCACGAGAACGCCGAGGACUAGGAAAGACUAGGGCCAGUGCCUCCCCGGGGGCAGGGAGCGGAGGGUGGGGGGGCGAAUAACGUGAAAGUUACCAGAAACAUUAUUUAGCAGCGGAUUCCCUGCGUCCUUGUCAAUUUCAGAGACAAAACAAGCAGCCCAGGCUAGUAGUCUAGGCGGCGGCGCAGCGGCUGCGGCAGCGCGGCCCCAGCGGCGGCCCCGGCGGCGGCUCCUACGCAGCCCGUGCCCGCCCCGAGCCGCGCGAGCCACGGCGGCAGCGGCGCAGCAGCGGCAGCAGGAGAACCGGGGGAAUCGCGCUGCUGGGGUAAAAGCUGGAGCGAGGCGAAAGCGUGUAACGAUUGCACACGCACACACACACACCACUCACACGCACUCGCCGCCCGCCCGCUCGCACAGCGCUGGAACACGCGCGCCCAGACACGCACACACGCACGCACACACACUCGCACACACGCAGAGGCACGGGAGGGAAAGAAGCCGAUGAAUAAUUUUGCUAUUUUUUAAAAUACUGGCCGCCAUCAUCAAGCAGCGAGCAGCAGCAGAAGCGUUGAAGGGAGAGGAGGCAUCGGGACAGGCCCCUCUUAGGAGAGGAUUUAUAUCUAGUUGGAAAAAAAAAGAAAGAAAAGAAAAAGAAGAAAAAGAAGAAAAAAAUUGUCAAGCCCCCGAACUGAAGGUUACGAGCGGCCCGUCAGCAGCCCACAUGUAACCGAACUGUCGUGUUUCAUGGCUUUUUGCCACUCCAGCUGUCAAUCAAAGCCCGGAAUGUCAAGGUAGUGAAUGAAUGAUGGUUGAUGAUGAUGAAGAGGAGGAAUCUUUCAGACCCGUUUUUUUCUUCCAGUAAAACUCCGCGAGGGGUUUCUGCUUCUUGAAUUUUUUCCUCCCCCCUCCCCCCUUUUUUAGCUUUGCCCCCGCGGUAUCUAUAAUACGAUCCUCUCUCUUUAAAGUAUUGUUCAAAGAAAGCAGUGAGAAAAAUCAA
Molecule: long non-coding RNA, 1430 nt
Filed under: Homo sapiens (human)
Lineage: Eukaryota; Metazoa; Chordata; Mammalia; Primates; Hominidae
Description: HSALNT0380620
Source: RNAcentral